UCGCGGCCUAUCAGCUUGUUGGUGGGGUAAUGGCCCACCAAGGCUUCGACGGGUAGCCGGCCUGAGAGGGUGACCGGCCACACUGGGACUGAGACACGGCCCAGACUCCUACGGGAGGCAGCAGUGGGGAAUAUUGGACAAUGGCGAAAGCCUGACGCAGCAACGCCGCGUGGGGGAUGAAGGCUCUCGGGUUGUAAACCCCUUUCAGCAGGGACGAAAUUGACAGUACCUGCAGAAGAAGCCCCGGCCAACUACGUGCCAGCAGCCGCGGUAACACGUAGGGGGCAAGCGUUGUCCGGAUUUAUUGGGCGUAAAGAGCUCGUAGGCGGCUCGGUAAGUCGGGUGUGAAAACUCAGGGCUCAACCCUGAGACGCCACCCGAUACUGCUGUGGCUAGAGUCCGGUAGGGGAGCGUGGAAUUCCUGGUGUAGCGGUGAAAUGCGCAGAUAUCAGGAGGAACACCAGCGGCGAAGGCGGCGCUCUGGGCCGGUACUGACGCUGAGGAGCGAAAGCGUGGGGAAUCG
RNAcentral lists this ribosomal RNA (523 nucleotides) under uncultured Actinomycetes bacterium. RNAcentral describes it as "bacterial SSU rRNA". It matches the Rfam family "Bacterial small subunit ribosomal RNA", at positions 231 to 771 of the family's 1533-position model. The record is from RNAcentral. Lineage: Bacteria; Bacillati; Actinomycetota; Actinomycetes.